UUUGUGCAAUAAAAGCACCGCUAAGAGAGUCGGUGGCCUUUCUUGCAGUGUUCCAUUCGUUCUGACGAUGCAGAGACAAAAUUCGAUUAUUCUUAAUAUAUUUUAAUAUCAUAUCGCUCAUUCAUAUGUUCGCGGAUCAGAUUUGCUAUAUUGACUACUCAAGAGCUAAGGAUAAACCAUUUUACAAAGAAUGAUUGCGGAUCAUAUUCAUUUUAUAAGUUAAGGUAAUAGUUUUUCUCAUAUUCCUUGUUCAGUAAAACUAGCAUUCAAAAUUUUCCGUAAGUAGUAUAAGCAUGUCUUCCACGUUAUCCAACCGGUCGGACCACGCUUAUAUCUAAACUUUAUAUUACACUAUUAUUUAAAGCCGAUUUUAGUUUAUCUUUUAAUUAAUCUAUCUAUUUAUUAAUGCUGCUUGCUUGAUUAUUUUAUAUUAAUAUUUUUCAGACAACCAACAUGUUUAGUAUUCGAGGUUGCUUUGAUCAUGUUCACCAUGAACGGAUUAUGACAUAAUUUAGUUUUUGUUUGGUAAGCAAAGAUUUUAAAUAUAUAUAGUUUAUAGUUCGGCUUAAGAAAUAUCGAUGAUUAUUGAUCCGACAGAGGUGCAGGCUAAAUCUAAGAAAGCACAUGGAAAGAAAGUUGAAAUACUAACACUACUAACUAGUAUCUUAAGUUACAUAUCGGCUCGGACAGUUUAGAAAGAAAAAAAUAUUUUAAGCAAAAAGAGCCACCGUGGUAUAGACUUUUUUUUUUCUGUGGUAUAGACUUUAUAUAUACUCGAUAUUUCUUUCGAUCAUGUGCUGCUUUAACGGUAGAAGCAUUUCGUUGAAUGUUGCACUAACAAAGAUUAGUCGAUAUAUGAAACAAUAAUAACAAUGUGAGCGGCCUGGUGCAAGUGUUCUGAGGAAAACCUCUAUUUGGUAAUUUCUUAUAAUGUAUGAGCUGCUAUCUAUCUUUCUUUUUUGACAUGAGCUGCUAUCUAUCUUCUUAGUCGUUAUGACAUAAGUUAUAUUAUCUGAUAUAUUCGAAGGAUUCAAAGAAAACGAAAACGAACUGGCUUAUAAUAUUUAUACUUUCCAAACAUUUUAACCCCAAAAGAACAUUACUAAGUGGUAUAUACGACAAAUGACCAACGCCAUGUGCUUGCACUUUCUUACGUCUCAAGUCCAUUAGUCUUUUGUGUAAUCUCCUUUCUUUUAUUUACCCUAUCUGAACAAUGUUUACAAACCGUAAUAGUAACAAAAAAAUGUAUAUAUACAUAUGUAUCUAUAUAUUUUUUUACUAUUAGAACCGCACUACAGUUAUUUCGCGGAUUCAGAUCCUAAGUCGUGUAGACCAACCCGCAUGAGCAGGAUUGGUCAGGUUUCGACCUACACACCUCUCAUGUUUAAUGAAAAAAACAAUGGUUUUAUUUCAUAUAUAUCAGAUUUAACCGAUGCAAGCAAUAACUUUCUAUACCUGGUUACACAGAGAAAAUAAAUUGGAGAUGUUAAGAAAUAGGAAGAAGCUGAACCAAAAAGCCUUGCUUGAUUUGGCACACAGAUCAAGCAUUUGAUGCAGUUUAUAAUAUUCGUUGUGUAUAUGUGAUAGGAUAAUUCAGAACAUACGUAACUUUAACUUGUCGAGAUGGGAGAACCAAUGUGAGUAAGGCAUGUGAGAGAUGGAUCACAUUGUCCCACAGCUUUUGUCCCCUUUACCUCUGCAUUUAUAUUACCA
RNAcentral lists this long non-coding RNA (1713 nucleotides) under Brassica rapa (field mustard). RNAcentral describes it as "long non-coding RNA (BRAP_LNC000065)". The record is from RNAcentral. Lineage: Eukaryota; Viridiplantae; Streptophyta; Magnoliopsida; Brassicales; Brassicaceae.